This 488-nucleotide ribosomal RNA is filed under the name uncultured bacterium. Its description in RNAcentral is "partial 16S ribosomal RNA". It matches the Rfam family "Bacterial small subunit ribosomal RNA", at positions 28 to 523 of the family's 1533-position model. The record is from RNAcentral.
GACGAACGCUGGCGGCGUGCUUAACACAUGCAAGUCGAACGGUAACAGGUUAAGCUGACGAGUGGCAAACGGGUGAGUAAUGCAUCGGAACGUGCCCGAUCGUGGGGGAUAACGCAGCGAAAGCUGCGCUAAUACCGCAUACGAUCUGAGGAUGAAAGCGGGGGACCGUAAGGCCUCGCGCGAUCGGAGCGGCCGAUGUCAGAUUAGGUAGUUGGUGGGGUAAAGGCGCACCAAGGCAACGAUCAGUAGGGGUUCUGAGAGGAAGGUCCCCCACGUUGGAACUGAAGAACGGUCCAAACUCCUACGGGAGGCAGCAGUGAGGAAUAUUGGUCAAUGGGCGGAAGCCUGAACCAGCCAAGUAGCGUGCAGGAUGACGGCCCUAUGGGUUGUAAACUGCUUUUAUACAGGAAUAAAGUUAGCCACGUGUGGUUAUUUGUAGGUACUGUAUGAAUAAGGACCGGCUAAUUCCGUGCCAGCCGCCGCAGUAA